RNAcentral lists this ribosomal RNA (741 nucleotides) under Bacillus mycoides. Its description in RNAcentral is "bacterial SSU rRNA". It matches the Rfam family "Bacterial small subunit ribosomal RNA", at positions 173 to 899 of the family's 1533-position model. Lineage: Bacteria; Bacillati; Bacillota; Bacilli; Caryophanales; Bacillaceae. The record is from RNAcentral.
AUCUUGGAUCAGGAAGUCCUAACAUGGUAACCGGCUUCUUUUGUCAUGUAUGGAUGGACCCGCGUCGCAUUACCUAGUUGGUGAGGUAACGGCUCACCAAGGCAACGAUGCGUAGCCGACCUGAGAGGGUGAUCGGCCACACUGGGACUGAGACACGGCCCAGACUCCUACGGGAGGCAGCAGUAGGGAAUCUUCCGCAAUGGACGAAAGUCUGACGGAGCAACGCCGCGUGAGUGAUGAAGGCUUUCGGGUCGUAAAACUCUGUUGUUAGGGAAGAACAAGUGCUAUUUGAAUAAGCUGGCACCUUGACGGUACCUAACCAGAAAGCCACGGCUAACUACGUGCCAGCAGCCGCGGUAAUACGUAGGUGGCAAGCGUUAUCCGGAAUUAUUGGGCGUAAAGCGCGCGCAGGUGGUUUCUUAAGUCUGAUGUGAAAGCCCACGGCUCAACCGUGGAGGGUCAUUGGAAACUGGGAGACUUGAGUGCAGAAGAGGAGAGUGGAAUUCCAUGUGUAGCGGUGAUAUGCGUAGAGAUAUGGAGGAACACCAGUGGCGAAGGCGACUUUCUGGUCUGUAACUGACACUGAGGCGCGAAAGCGUGGGGAGCAAACGGGAUUACAUACCCUGGUAGUCCACGCCGUAAACGAUGAGUGCUAAGUGUUAAAGGGUUUCCGCCCCUUUAGUGCUGAAGUUAACGGCAUUAGCACUCCGCCUGGGGAAUACGGGCGGCCAAGGUUGAAUA